RNAcentral lists this ribosomal RNA (582 nucleotides) under uncultured Comamonadaceae bacterium. RNAcentral describes it as "bacterial SSU rRNA". It matches the Rfam family "Bacterial small subunit ribosomal RNA", at positions 102 to 680 of the family's 1533-position model. Lineage: Bacteria; Pseudomonadati; Pseudomonadota; Betaproteobacteria; Burkholderiales; Comamonadaceae. The record is from RNAcentral.
ACGGGUGAGUAAUAUAUCGGAACGUGCCCAGUCGUGGGGGAUAACGUAGCGAAAGCUACGCUAAUACCGCAUACGAUCUACGGAUGAAAGCGGGGGAUCGCAAGACCUCGCGCGAUUGGAGCGGCCGAUAUCAGAUUAGCUAGUUGGUGGGGUAAAAGCCCACCAAGGCGACGAUCUGUAGCUGGUCUGAGAGGACGACCAGCCACACUGGGACUGAGACACGGCCCAGACUCCUACGGGAGGCAGCAGUGGGGAAUUUUGGACAAUGGACGCAAGUCUGAUCCAGCAAUGCCGCGUGCAGGACGAAGGCCUUCGGGUUGUAAACUGCUUUUGUACGGAACGAAACGGUCUCUUCUAAUACGGGGGGCUAAUGACGGUACCGUAAGAAUAAGCACCGGCUAACUACGUGCCAGCAGCCGCGGUAAUACGUAGGGUGCAAGCGUUAAUCGGAAUUACUGGGCGUAAAGCGUGCGCAGGCGGUGAUGUAAGACAGAUGUGAAAUCCCCGGGCUCAACCUGGGACCUGCAUUUGUGACUGCAUCGCUAGAGUACGGUAGAGGGGGAUGGAAUUCCGCGUGUAGCA